RNAcentral lists this unclassified non-coding RNA (218 nucleotides) under Hevea brasiliensis (rubber tree). The record is from RNAcentral. Lineage: Eukaryota; Viridiplantae; Streptophyta; Magnoliopsida; Malpighiales; Euphorbiaceae.
GAUCAAUUUCGGUCUCAUGCUUCGCAAUAUACGGCCGGAAAAAUGUCUCAUAGACAUAUUUUGUUCCCUUUGUUUUAGGAAACCACAGGUACACAAAGAAUGCCAGCUUUGCUUCACUGUACAUCGGUAGCCAAGAGAUAAAGGUAUCUCCAAUCCUCUCCGAGACAGUCAGAACAGCAACUAGGAUCCAAUACUGACACCAGAAUCGUAGCUCCUCG